GGAAAAGCUCCCUCAGACGUGGGCACCAAGGAACAGGUAGAAGAUCACUGUCAUUUUCCUGUUGUGUUUUCUGCAGAAUGAAUAUAUGAAAGAUGAUUUCUUCAUUAAAAUCGAAACAUGGCACAAACCAGACUUGGGAACAUUAGAAAAUGUACAUGGUUUAGAUCCAAACACAUGGAAAACUGUUGAAAUUGUCCAUAUAGAUAUUGCAGAUAGAAGUCAAGUUGAACCAGCAGUAAGUAUUACUCAAUGACAUUUAACCUGUUCCCUUUUACAGUUAAAAAUUAUUUUCUACUAUCACAUUUGGGAUUAAGUUAAAAAAAUUAUUUCCUUUCUUUCUUGUAUGGCCUACAUUUCUAUGCCGAAGUGAGCUUGGAGUGUAGUCUAGUACGUCUGUGCAGCAAAGAGACCAGAGUAAGAGAGAAGGCGAUUUGUUUUCUGUGUAGAUUUUGGCUUUGUGCAAGUGAUCCCUUUAAGAAAUCCCAGUAUACCUGGGAAAUGUAGGUUGUUUUCAUUGAAAAACAAAAAACACAUUGUUUACAAAAUAAUUCUCCCUCGAGCUAGGUCCCUUUUACUUUUCAAAUGUGAUUAAGAAAGCAAAAAUUUAAUUUGCAUACAAGUAUUUAGUA
Molecule: small RNA, 629 nt
Filed under: Pan troglodytes (chimpanzee)
Lineage: Eukaryota; Metazoa; Chordata; Mammalia; Primates; Hominidae
Description: retained intron
Source: RNAcentral